RNAcentral lists this ribosomal RNA (497 nucleotides) under uncultured bacterium. RNAcentral's name for it is "partial 16S ribosomal RNA". It matches the Rfam family "Bacterial small subunit ribosomal RNA", at positions 28 to 507 of the family's 1533-position model. The record is from RNAcentral.
GAUGAACGCUGGCGGCGUGCCUAAUACAUGCAAGUCGAGCGAACGGACGAGAAGCUUGCUUUUCUGAUGUUAGCGGCGGACGGGUGAGUAACACGUGGAUAACCUACCUAUAAGACUGGGAUAACUUCGGGAAACCGGAGCUAAUACCGGAUAAUAUUUUGAACCGCAUGGUUCAACAGUGAAAGACGGUCUUGCUGUCACUUAUAGAUGGAUCCGCGCUGCAUUAGCUAGUUGGUAAGGUAACGGCUUACCAAGGCAACGAUGCAUAGCCGACCUGAGAGGGUGAUCGGCCACACUGGAACUGAGACACGGUCCAGACUCCUACGGGAGGCAGCAGUAGGGAAUCUUCCGCAAUGGGCGAAAGCCUGACGGAGCAACGCCGCGUGAGUGAUGAAGGUCUUCGGAUCGUAAAACUCUGUUAUUAGGGAAGAACAUAUGUGUAAGUAACUGUGCACAUCUUGACGGCACCUAAUCAGAAAGCCACGGCUAACUACGUG